Molecule: ribosomal RNA, 429 nt
Filed under: Pseudomonadota bacterium
Lineage: Bacteria; Pseudomonadati; Pseudomonadota
Description: Proteobacteria bacterium partial 16S ribosomal RNA
Rfam family: Bacterial small subunit ribosomal RNA
Source: RNAcentral
UGGGGAAUAUUUGACAAUGGGCGAAAGCCUGAUCCAGCCAUGCCGCGUGUGUGAAGAAGGUCUUCGGAUUGUAAAGCACUUUAAGUUGGGAGGAAGGGCAGUAAGCGAAUACCUUGCUGUUUUGACGUUACCGACAGAAUAAGCACCGGCUAACUCUGUGCCAGCAGCCGCGGUAAUACAGAGGGUGCAAGCGUUAAUCGGAAUUACUGGGCGUAAAGCGCGCGUAGGUGGUUCGUUAAGUUGAAUGUGAAAGCCCCGGGCUCAACCUGGGAACUGCAUCCAAAACUGGCGAGCUAGAGUAGGGCAGAGGGUGGUGGAAUUUCCUGUGUAGCGGUGAAAUGCGUAGAUAUAGGAAGGAACACCAGUGGCGAAGGCGACCACCUGGGCUCAUACUGACACUGAGGCGCGAAAGCGUGGGGAGCAAACAGG